GGUUAAGCGACUAAGCGUACACGGUGGAUGCCCUGGCAGUCAGAGGCGAUGAAGGACGUGCUAAUCUGCGAUAAGCGUCGGUAAGGUGAUAUGAACCGUUAUAACCGGCGAUUUCCGAAUGGGGAAACCCAGUGUGUUUCGACACACUAUCAUUAACUGAAUCCAUAGGUUAAUGAGGCGAACCGGGGGAACUGAAACAUCUAAGUACCCCGAGGAAAAGAAAUCAACCGAGAUUCCCCCAGUAGCGGCGAGCGAACGGGGAGCAGCCCAGAGCCUGAAUCAGUGUGUGUGUUAGUGGAAGCGUCUGGAAAGGCGCGCGAUACAGGGUGACAGCCCCGUACACAAAAAUGCACAUGCUGUGAGCUCGAUGAGUAGGGCGGGACACGUGGUAUCCUGUCUGAAUAUGGGGGGACCAUCCUCCAAGGCUAAAUACUCCUGACUGACCGAUAGUGAACCAGUACCGUGAGGGAAAGGCGAAAAGAACCCCGGCGAGGGGAGUGAAAAAGAACCUGAAACCGUGUACGUACAAGCAGUGGGAGCACAGAGCAAUCUGUGUGACUGCGUACCUUUUGUAUAAUGGGUCAGCGACUUAUAUUCUGUAGCAAGGUUAACCGAAUAGGGGAGCCGAAGGGAAACCGAGUCUUAACUGGGCGUUAAGUUGCAGGGUAUAGACCCGAAACCCGGUGAUCUAGCCAUGGGCAGGUUGAAGGUUGGGUAACACUAACUGGAGGACCGAACCGACUAAUGUUGAAAAAUUAGCGGAUGACUUGUGGCUGGGGGUGAAAGGCCAAUCAAACCGGGAGAUAGCUGGUUCUCCCCGAAAGCUAUUUAGGUAGCGCCUCGUGAAUUCAUCUCCGGGGGUAGAGCACUGUUUCGGCAAGGGGGUCAUCCCGACUUACCAACCCGAUGCAAACUGCGAAUACCGGAGAAUGUUAUCACGGGAGACACACGGCGGGUGCUAACGUCCGUCGUGAAGAGGGAAACAACCCAGACCGCCAGCUAAGGUCCCAAAGUCAUGGUUAAGUGGGAAACGAUGUGGGAAGGCCCAGACAGCCAGGAUGUUGGCUUAGAAGCAGCCAUCAUUUAAAGAAAGCGUAAUAGCUCACUGGUCGAGUCGGCCUGCGCGGAAGAUGUAACGGGGCUAAACCAUGCACCGAAGCUGCGGCAGCGACGCUUAUGCGUUGUUGGGUAGGGGAGCGUUCUGUAAGCCUGCGAAGGUGUGCUGUGAGGCAUGCUGGAGGUAUCAGAAGUGCGAAUGCUGACAUAAGUAACGAUAAAGCGGGUGAAAAGCCCGCUCGCCGGAAGACCAAGGGUUCCUGUCCAACGUUAAUCGGGGCAGGGUGAGUCGACCCCUAAGGCGAGGCCGAAAGGCGUAGUCGAUGGGAAACAGGUUAAUAUUCCUGUACUUGGUGUUACUGCGAAGGGGGGACGGAGAAGGCUAUGUUGGCCGGGCGACGGUUGUCCCGGUUUAAGCGUGUAGGCUGGUUUUCCAGGCAAAUCCGGAAAAUCAAGGCUGAGGCGUGAUGACGAGGCACUACGGUGCUGAAGCAACAAAUGCCCUGCUUCCAGGAAAAGCCUCUAAGCAUCAGGUAACAUCAAAUCGUACCCCAAACCGACACAGGUGGUCAGGUAGAGAAUACCAAGGCGCUUGAGAGAACUCGGGUGAAGGAACUAGGCAAAAUGGUGCCGUAACUUCGGGAGAAGGCACGCUGAUAUGUAGGUGAAGUCCCUCGCGGAUGGAGCUGAAAUCAGUCGAAGAUACCAGCUGGCUGCAACUGUUUAUUAAAAACACAGCACUGUGCAAACACGAAAGUGGACGUAUACGGUGUGACGCCUGCCCGGUGCCGGAAGGUUAAUUGAUGGGGUUAGCGGUAACGCGAAGCUCUUGAUCGAAGCCCCGGUAAACGGCGGCCGUAACUAUAACGGUCCUAAGGUAGCGAAAUUCCUUGUCGGGUAAGUUCCGACCUGCACGAAUGGCGUAAUGAUGGCCAGGCUGUCUCCACCCGAGACUCAGUGAAAUUGAACUCGCUGUGAAGAUGCAGUGUACCCGCGGCAAGACGGAAAGACCCCGUGAACCUUUACUAUAGCUUGACACUGAACAUUGAGCCUUGAUGUGUAGGAUAGGUGGGAGGCUUAGAAGUGUGGACGCCAGUCUGCAUGGAGCCGACCUUGAAAUACCACCCUUUAAUGUUUGAUGUUCUAACGUUGACCCGUAAUCCGGGUUGCGGACAGUGUCUGGUGGGUAGUUUGACUGGGGCGGUCUCCUCCUAAAGAGUAACGGAGGAGCACGAAGGUUGGCUAAUCCUGGUCGGACAUCAGGAGGUUAGUGCAAUGGCAUAAGCCAGCUUGACUGCGAGCGUGACGGCGCGAGCAGGUGCGAAAGCAGGUCAUAGUGAUCCGGUGGUUCUGAAUGGAAGGGCCAUCGCUCAACGGAUAAAAGGUACUCCGGGGAUAACAGGCUGAUACCGCCCAAGAGUUCAUAUCGACGGCGGUGUUUGGCACCUCGAUGUCGGCUCAUCACAUCCUGGGGCUGAAGUAGGUCCCAAGGGUAUGGCUGUUCGCCAUUUAAAGUGGUACGCGAGCUGGGUUUAGAACGUCGUGAGACAGUUCGGUCCCUAUCUGCCGUGGGCGCUGGAGAACUGAGGGGGGCUGCUCCUAGUACGAGAGGACCGGAGUGGACGCAUCACUGGUGUUCGGGUUGUCAUGCCAAUGGCACUGCCCGGUAGCUAAAUGCGGAAGAGAUAAGUGCUGAAAGCAUCUAAGCACGAAACUUGCCCCGAGAUGAGUUCUCCCUGACUCCUUGAGAGUCCUGAAGGAACGUUGAAGACGACGACGUUGAUAGGCCGGGUGUGUAAGCGCAGCGAUGCGUUGAGCUAACCGGUACUAAUGAACCGUGAGGCUUAACCUU
RNAcentral lists this ribosomal RNA (2908 nucleotides) under Escherichia coli. RNAcentral's name for it is "23S ribosomal RNA". It matches the Rfam family "Bacterial large subunit ribosomal RNA". The record is from RNAcentral. Lineage: Bacteria; Pseudomonadati; Pseudomonadota; Gammaproteobacteria; Enterobacterales; Enterobacteriaceae.